CCUACGGGGGACAGCAGUGGGGAAUAUUGCACAAUGGGGGAAACCCUGAUGCAGCGACGCCGCGUGAGUGAAGAAGUAUUUCGGUACGUAAAGCUCUAUCAGCAGGGAAGAAAAUGACGGUACCUGACUAAGAAGCCGCGGCUAACUACGUGCAAGCAGCCGCGUUAAUACGUAGGGGGCAAGCGUUAUCCGGGUUUACUGGGUGUACAGGGCGCGUAGACGGCGGCGCAAGUCUGCAGGGAAAUCCCAUGGCUGAACCAUGGAACUGCGUUGGAAACUGGGCAGCUAGAGUGCAGGAGAGGUAAGCGGAAUUCAUAGUGUAGCGGUGAAAUGCGUAGAUAUUAGGAGGAACACCAGUGGCGAAGGCGGCUUACCGGACUGUAACUGACGUUGAGGCUCGAAAGCGUGGGUAGCAAACAGGAUUAGAUACCCGAGUAGUC
Molecule: ribosomal RNA, 440 nt
Filed under: uncultured bacterium
Lineage: Bacteria
Description: partial 16S ribosomal RNA
Rfam family: Bacterial small subunit ribosomal RNA
Source: RNAcentral